UACGUAGGGGGCAAGCGUUGUCCGGAAUCAUUGGGCGUAAAGAGCGCGUAGGCGGCCCUGUAAGUCCGCUGUGAAAGUCAAGGGCUCAACCCUUGAAUGCCGGUGGAUACUGCAGGGCUAGAGUCCGGAAGAGGCGAGUGGAAUUCCUGGUGUAGCGGUGAAGUGCGCAGAUAUCAGGAAGAACACCCGUGGCGAAGGCGGCUCUCUGGGACGGUACUGACGCUGAGACGCGAAAGCGUGGGGAGCGAACGGG
This 253-nucleotide ribosomal RNA is filed under the name uncultured bacterium. RNAcentral's name for it is "partial 16S ribosomal RNA". It matches the Rfam family "Bacterial small subunit ribosomal RNA", at positions 524 to 776 of the family's 1533-position model. The record is from RNAcentral.